Molecule: RNA transcript, 2991 nt
Organism: Belonocnema kinseyi
Lineage: Eukaryota; Metazoa; Arthropoda; Insecta; Hymenoptera; Cynipidae
Gene: Hrs
Gene name: hepatocyte growth factor-regulated tyrosine kinase substrate
Exons: 12
Source: RefSeq, a predicted model, not a curated record
AUGUUUCGGCCUGCAUCAAACUUCGAUAAAUUACUUGACAAAGCGACAAGUCAUUUACUUCUUGAACCAGAUUGGCCGUCCAUUUUACAAAUUUGCGAUCUUGUACGCCAAGGAGAUGCUCAGCCCAAGUAUGUACUUGCAGCAAUAAAAAAAAAAAUAGUGCAUCCAAAUCCGCACAUAGCUCUCUUGGGGUUAUUGGUUUUAGAAUCCUGUGUCAAGAAUUGCGGUAGUUUAAUUCACGAUGAGAUUGGUACGAAACAGUAUAUGGAACAACUCUGGGAUAAUGUAAAGAAUACACAACACGAAGAAGUUAAAAUCAAAAUCUUAGACUUGAUUCAAGCAUGGGCCUACGCAUUCCGGAAAAGCCCUAAGUACAGAGCCGUUCAGGAUACAGUAAAUAUUAUGAAAACCGAAGGUCAUAAGUUUCCAGCAUUAAAGGAAAGCGACGCCAUGUUUAGUGCAGAUACUGCUCCUGAGUGGGCUGACGGAACUAUGUGCCAUCGUUGUCGCGUGACCUUUAGUAUCGUCCAACGGAAACAUCACUGCCGAGCAUGUGGACAGGUUUUCUGUCAACAAUGUUCUAGCAAAGUUUCUACACUACCGAAAUUUGGUUUUGAGAAAGAGGUUAGAGUUUGCGAAUCAUGCUACGAACAAUUCAACAAGCCAGCUACUUCGUUGAGUAAAGAAACAGAGCUUCCUGCUGAAUAUUUGAGUAGCUCUCUAGCUCAACAGCAACAAGUUCCUCCGAGAAAAACUGAAGAGGAGCUUCGUGAGGAAGAAGAACUUCAAUUGGCCCUUGCAUUAAGUCAGAGUGAAGCUGAGCAAAAGGAAAAAGAUCAAAAACGCUCUAAAGCAAAUUCUGCACCAGUUGAGCGAGUGACGUAUCCACCACCUCCAUCUCCGGGUUUAAGUCCUGCAAGAGUUCCAGAUGAAGAACUGGAUCCAGAACUUGCAAAGUAUCUAAAUCGGCAGUAUUGGGAGCAAAGACAAUUAUCAGCUGAAGAACAUGGUUCUAGAAUAAACGUUACUAGUCCAUCUGCACCGAAUAUUAGCAGUCCCAUGCCUCAGAAGAUCAUCACUACUAAACAACAAAAUGGUGAAAUCGAUACAGAAAUGGAAAUGUUUGUUAAUGCUUUACAAUCGCAAGUGGAAAUUUUUGUUAAUCGAAUGAAAAGCAACUCUUCUCGGGGAAGAUCAAUUGCCAAUGAUAGUUCCGUGCAAACCUGGUUCAUGAAUAUUACGGCAAUGCAUUCAAAGUUACUGAGAUAUAUUCAAGAACAAGACGACAAACGAGUAUACUACGAAGGGCUACAGGAUAAAGUUGCUCAAAUUAAAGAGUCACGAGCUGCAUUGGACGCCUUGCGGGAAGAACACAGAGAAAAGCUAAAAAGCCAGGCUGAAGAAGCCGAAAGACAAAGACAACUUCAAAUGGCUCAUAAAUUAGAAAUCAUGCGGAAAAAGAAACAAGAUUACUUGCAGUAUCAACGACAGUUAGCACUUCAAAGGAUUCAAGAGCAAGAGCGUGAGAUGCAAAUGAGACAAGAACAGCAGAAGCAACAGUACAUCAUGGGAGGUUAUCAGUCAGUUUCAGGCUUUAUUGGACCAACAUCUCAAGGAUCUCCAGUGCGUCAUGUACAAUAUCAAAAUCCUGGAUGUAACUACAAUUCGAUAUCUCCAUCUAAUCCAGGCAUCUUCGUUUAUGGUCAAGCACCUAUGCCAGACUAUUCAAUUCAGAAUUAUAGAGCACCAGCAGUGGGUUCUAUUCCUCCACAAAUUAUGAGUCCGAUUGGCAAUCAAGAGCAGCAGCAGCAACCAAAAGAUUCUGCUGUUCAAGGACAGGAAAGCCUUGGUCAUGUUACGAUAUCCGGACCUGGCAUGAUCUCGCAAAUUGGUGGUACGCCUAUUCGUCAAAUCCUGCCACAAAACACGCCUCAUAUGAGACUUCCGAAUCAGCAGAGCCAUUCUGCUCACGUAGAAAUUUCACAAGGAAUUCAGAGUCACGGGCCACAGUCACAAGUAAUUCCGACUCAAGGACCACCAUCACAAGGAUUUCCCAAACACGUGGGUCAGCCUCCAGUGCAGCAAUCUGUUCAGCCACAGGGACUAUCAGGUCAGAUGGCUACUCAUAAAGUACCAGGUAGUCAAAUAGGAAAAGAAACUCAAUGUCCUCCUGGUGCAACGCCAACUUUGGCGCACAUUAAACCCGGGCAAGUAGGACUUUCUGCAUCAGUGCAGCCGCAAGCACCACCUCCUUCAUCGUCUAGAACCAUUCUCCAGCAGAGCACUUCUAACACUAGUAUUCCGUGUCAAGAUUCAGGGUCUAUUCAGAUGCCAGCACCUAAUUCUAAUAAUAUCUCUGCUCAAUCUUCUCAGCACAUUCCUAACUUGAAAGUUCAUGGAAUACACGUACUACAAGGAACGCCCCAAACGACGGCUUCAAACCAUCCAAUACAUUUUCAGUCUCCUAUUCAAUCUAAAUCUACAGAACAGCAACAACAGAAGCAAGAAUCUAAGCUCGAUACGGCAGAACUUAUUUCGUUUGAUUAAAAUUUCUGGAGAUAAUUAAUGAACUCAUAAACACAAGAGCGGUUGUAGAAUUCCUCAAGAUUCUGGAGCCAUACAUCGUAUGUGAUCAUCAAAUAUGAACUGAGCAGAUAAAAGCGGUAUUCUAUUAGUAGUGCUGCUGCUCAGUGGCUUGUGAAUUGUUAAAUGGAGACAUCUAGAAUCAUCCUUGUCACCUGCCACUUCGAUAUCUUGUAAAAAACCAACAAACUUUGCUACGCCCCAUCCUAACUUUUUUGUAUCAGGUUCAACUAGGAUUAACUGAAUGAUAUCAAUAACCAGAAAUCUUCGAACUUUCUGACCAUCUUUCCAUACUAUCGUACAUGCGAUAAGAUCACUAUUAUCUACAAUUAAAGAGUGUUUAUUAAAUAUUUUGAUAUACAUUUAUAACAUUUCCUGUAGUAUUUGCAAAAUAUAUUCUCAGUAACU